GGGCGGGUAGCUCAGUGGUAGAGCAGCUGACUUUUAAUCAGCUGGUCGAGGGUUCGAUCCCCUCCCCGCUCA
This 72-nucleotide transfer RNA is filed under the name Hyphomicrobiaceae bacterium. RNAcentral describes it as "tRNA-Lys". It matches the Rfam family "tRNA". Rfam says of the family: Transfer RNA (tRNA) molecules are approximately 80 nucleotides in length. Their secondary structure includes four short double-helical elements and three loops (D, anti-codon, and T loops). The record is from RNAcentral. Lineage: Bacteria; Pseudomonadati; Pseudomonadota; Alphaproteobacteria; Hyphomicrobiales; Hyphomicrobiaceae.